Molecule: ribosomal RNA, 253 nt
Filed under: uncultured bacterium
Lineage: Bacteria
Description: partial 16S ribosomal RNA
Rfam family: Bacterial small subunit ribosomal RNA
Source: RNAcentral
UACGGGGGGAGCAAGCGUUGUUCGGAUUUACUGGGCGUAAAGGGCGCGUAGGCGGCGUGGUAAGUCACUUGUGAAAUCUCUGAGCUUAACUCAGAACGGCCAAGUGAUACUGCUGUGCUAGAGUGCAGAAGGGGCAAUCGGAAUUCUUGGUGUAGCGGUGAAAUGCGUAGAUAUCAAGAGGAACACCUGAGGUGAAGACGGGUUGCCGGGCUGACACUGACGCUGAGGCGCGAAAGCCAGGGGAGCAAACGGG